Molecule: ribosomal RNA, 465 nt
Filed under: uncultured bacterium
Lineage: Bacteria
Description: partial 16S ribosomal RNA
Rfam family: Bacterial small subunit ribosomal RNA
Source: RNAcentral
GACGAACGCUGGCGGCGUGCUUAACACAUGCAAGUCGAACGGUGAACCUGCUUCGGUGCGGGUUCAGUGUCGAACGGGGGCGUAACACUUGGGCAACCUUCCCUCAGCUCUGGGAUAAGUCCAAGAAAUGGGGGCUAAUGCUAGAUAUGACCGCUGUCCGCAUGGGCUGGGGGUAGUAGGAUGUGUCGGCUGGGGUUGGGCCCGCGGCCUAUCCGCUUGUGGGUUGGCUAGUGGCCUACCAAGGCGACGACGGGUGGCCGGCCUGGGAGCGGGACCGGCCACACUGGGCCUGAGAGACGGCGCAGACUGGUACGGGAGGCAGCAGUGGGGAGCAUUGCGCAGUGGCGGAACGCCUGUGGUAGCGAUGCCGCGUGGGGGAUGACGUCUUUCGGGUUGUAAACAUCUUUCAGAAGGGACGAAGCGAUAGUGACGGUACCUGCAGAAGAAGCCCCGGCUAACUACGUG